Molecule: transfer RNA, 73 nt
Filed under: Otolemur garnettii (small-eared galago)
Lineage: Eukaryota; Metazoa; Chordata; Mammalia; Primates; Galagidae
Rfam family: tRNA
About the family: Transfer RNA (tRNA) molecules are approximately 80 nucleotides in length. Their secondary structure includes four short double-helical elements and three loops (D, anti-codon, and T loops).
Source: Rfam by way of RNAcentral
ACGCCUGUGGCUCAGCAGCUAGGGCUCCAGCCACAUACACUGGAGUUUGCCGGUUCAAAUCCAGCCAGGCCUG